CUUCUAAUCAACGAUCUUCCCCCAAGAGAAAGAAAAGAAUUUAUUCCUAACAUCGAACGGUUGAAAUCUUUCUCCACCCUAGACUCAAUCUCAGCCGUUAAACCCAGAUACAUGUACAUCUCUGCAGCAUGCGGCAUAUUCAUUGGAGUCUUGCUUGAGUUCUCCCUUCGUAUCCCAUUUUUUAUGUGAUUCUUACUAAACCCAUAUAACCAAUAUAGUUCUUGAUCGAUCUAUUAAUUUUACACAUUUUGAUCUGGGCUUGUGAUUCUACUAAUUUGAUUCAGAAUGUUUGGGAGGGCUCCGAAAAAAAGUGAUAAUACCAAGUACUAUGAAAUUCUUGGGGUGCCCAACACUGCGUCACAGGAUGAUUUAAAGAAGGCUUACAAGAAAGCUGCUAUCAAGAAUCAUCCUGAUAAGGGGGGUGACCCUGAAAAGGUUCCAUUUUGAAGUUUUUA
RNAcentral lists this long non-coding RNA (455 nucleotides) under Olea europaea subsp. europaea. Lineage: Eukaryota; Viridiplantae; Streptophyta; Magnoliopsida; Lamiales; Oleaceae. The record is from RNAcentral.